AAUGUUGAACAAUUUGAAAUUAGCACAUAAUCAAAGUCAUAAACUGAUUAUUGUAAACAACCAAAGAGUCGAAAAAUAUCAAACAACCAUAAUUCUAGUAAACGGCUAAUUUAUUAAUAAUUACUUCUAGGGAUUUCUUUGAUAUCCUAUGCUCUCUCAAUUUCCUUUGCAUUACGGGAAGGACAUCCACAUGGCCCAACAAUUCCUGCUUGGAGAGAGUGGGGCUUAAAAAUAGAAGGCCCAAGAACUAGCAUAUGGGCAGGACAUAGGCCUAUCAGAUAAAAGACCAAUAUUACCCCUGACAUAGCUUAUAUAAACUCCACCAUUCAACAUUGAAGGCGCCAUUUCUCUCUCUCUCUCUCUCUCUCUCUCUCUGUGCAGCGAGAGCGAGUUCGAGUUCAGCUUCUCCAAAAUGAAGGUUUCUCUUAUAGAUUUGACAAUUAUCAAAUUUCUUGUAAUCCAUCCUGAAUACGCUAAUAUAUUUUCCUUCAAAUUGUUUCAGAUCCAGUACAGCAACUCCAAAUCAAAAGUCUCUCUACCAUCUUCUGUAUUUUAUCUUAUAGAUCUGAUAAUUUCUAAUUAGAAUUUCUUAUAAUCCGUCCUAAAUACACUAAUAAUCUUUUCCUUGAAAUUGUUUUUGGUAUUUGCCGGCAAGUCCUUCAACUCCAAAUUAAUAGUUUUUCUGCGAUUUGCUGAUUUUAUCUUAUAGAUAUUAGAUUCUCAUUUUUUCUUGUUGGUUGACAAUCUGAAUUGAGAAAACUCAAUGUGUGAGUUAAUGAAUUUGUUGACAAUGCUGAACUUAAUUUAUGCAGAGCAGUAUGCUGAUGAAGUCACUACACUCUAACGAUGUGAUGGUAUGGCCUUCACUAAGUCGACCGUGAAAAUAUUUAAACAAACUGAGAAAGGGCUUAAAUAGAUGUACAGAGAUCGAGUUUGUUACAAUUUGAAAUCUGAUUGGGAUUACCAAGAUAUAUUUUGGCUGUUACAUUCCUAUCUAUCAGAGGAAGGUGAAGCAGAGUUUAUCUCGUUUCGUAUAUCUUUAUCUAUUGAUGUAGAGUUUGCUUCUUGAUGGUAUUCUGUAUCAAUCUGUCCAACGUUCCCCUGUAAGCACCAUUAGCUUGGAACGCAGUCAAUAUUUUGAUUCAAUUUGGACCUGAAUAUGCUAUUGAAUGCGAUCUUAUUAUGAUGAACAGAAAUGGAGGAGAAUAAGCUCAUGCCUAAAACAAUUGUUGGAAAAAUUGGCCAAUUUUGACACGAGUUUUGAGUGGGACCCGGUUGUUCAAUUUGGAAGAUGAAAGUUGAUUUGUGUUCUCCUCCGUGAGUACAUCGAAAUCAUAUACUUACUUGCCAAAGUUGAUGCUCGGGUGAAUGAGAAAUUGAUGCUCAAAGUGUGCCACUCAAAAGGGAGUUUAUGUGGGAAAAAUAAAUUUGUCCCACAUAGGAAAAAGAUGAGGAACUCCAAAGGUCAUUGUCAUUAAUGGUAGCCUAACCUAUAAAUAGUGGCUCAUUUUCCUCAUUUCA
RNAcentral lists this long non-coding RNA (1521 nucleotides) under Olea europaea subsp. europaea. The record is from RNAcentral. Lineage: Eukaryota; Viridiplantae; Streptophyta; Magnoliopsida; Lamiales; Oleaceae.